This 840-nucleotide ribosomal RNA is filed under the name Xanthoparmelia plittii. RNAcentral describes it as "eukaryotic LSU rRNA". It matches the Rfam family "Eukaryotic large subunit ribosomal RNA", at positions 81 to 936 of the family's 3401-position model. The record is from RNAcentral. Lineage: Eukaryota; Fungi; Ascomycota; Lecanoromycetes; Lecanorales; Parmeliaceae.
CAGUAACGGCGAGUGAAGCGGCAAUAGCUCAAAUUUGAAAUCUGGCUCCUUUGGGGUCCGAAUUGUAAUUUGUAGAGAGUGCUUCGGGCGAGACCUCGGUCUAAGUCCAUUGGAACAUGGUGUCAUAGAGGGUGAGAAUCCCGUAUGCGACCGUGGCUCGAGCCCAUGUGAAGCCUCUUCGACGAGUCGAGUUGUUUGGGAAUGCAGCUCAAAACGGGUGGUAAAUUUCAUCUAAAGCUAAAUACUGGCUGGAGACCGAUAGCGCACAAGUAGAGUGAUCGAAAGAUGAAAAGCACUUUGGAAAGAGAGUCAAACAGUACGUGAAAUUGUUGAAAGGGAAGCGCUUGCAACCAGACCUGCCCGUAGGCGAUCAGCCGCUGUUCUCAGCGGUGCACUCGCUCUGCGAUCAGGCCAGCAUCGGUUUCGGCGGUCGGAUAAAGGCCUUGGGAAUGUAGCUUCCCCUCGGGGGAGUCUUAUAGCCCUCGGUGUAAUGCGGCCAGCCGGGACCGAGGACCGCGCUUCGGCUAGGAUGCUGGCGUAAUGGUUGUAAGCGACCCGUCUUGAAACACGGACCAAGGAGUCUAACAUCUAUGCGAGUGUUUGGGUGUCAAACCCAUACGCGGAAUGAAAGUGAACGGAGGUGAGAACCCUUAAGGGCGCAUCAUCGACCGAUCCAGAUGUCUUCGGAUGGAUUUGAGUAUGAGCAUAGCUGUUGGGACCCGAAAGAUGGUGAACUAUGCCUGAAUAGGGUGAAGCCAGAGGAAACUCUGGUGGAGGCUCGCAGCGGUUCUGACGUGCAAAUCGAUCGUCAAAUUUGGGUAUAGGGGCGAAAGACUAAUC